Long non-coding RNA from Oncorhynchus tshawytscha (Chinook salmon), 1134 nucleotides. Lineage: Eukaryota; Metazoa; Chordata; Actinopteri; Salmoniformes; Salmonidae. The record is from Ensembl.
GUGCCAGCCUCUGACUGUGGUGGUAUGUAAAACAGCUACAAAAAAUACAGAUGUAAACUCUCUAGGUAGAAAGUGUGGUCUACAGCUUAUCAUGAGAUACUCUACCUCAGGCAAGCAAAAGCUUGAGACUUCCUUAGAUAUCGUGCACCAGCUGUUAUUUACAAAAAUACAUAGUCCGCCGCCCCUUGUCUUACCAGACGCCGCUGUUCUAUCCUGAUGGUACAGCGCAUAACCAGCCAGCUGUAUGUUGAUUGUGUCAUCGUUCAGCCACGACUCCAUGAAGCAUAAGAUAUUCCAGUUUUGAAUGUCCAGUUGGUAGUUUAAUCUUGUAUGCAGGUCAUCGAUUUCAUUCUCCAAAGAUUGCACGUUUGCUUGCAGAAUGGAAUAGAACAUCACUGCAACAACUGUUUCAGAGCACUCUCGUCCGAGUGUGCAAGAACGCAAGAACGCAGAAUAACUGAUGAAUUUACCAACACUCAACACCGGUUGAAUAUGGCUGUGUCAGUAAACGUAAUUAAAGAGUAAUUCAAUUGUUGUGGACCACAGUUACAGUCACUAAUGCUUUGGAUAACAUGAAAACAGAAUAACCAGCUCUGCUAGGGUGAGUAAAAUGGUCAGAGUUUGGGUGGGGUUUCAAGCUCAAGAUGAUUCUUAUGGCAUUGCACAUGGUCAGUGUGAACCAGAGUGACUUGAUGCUAGGCAUGCUGUACAAACAAAAUUGAAACGACACAGGACGUCUUAUUUAAUGAAAGGGGUUGCAGUCUGCCAUGAAGCGUUCAUCCAUGUAUACGGCAUCAGUAGAACAAGCCUGACUCUCCUCCUCCACCAGUCAUACAAGGAGAAUGGUCUAAUGCCUCCCAUCAAAAAGAGAGCUGGCCCAAGCAAGCACAGGUUACUCCUGAAGCAUGAGGACUUGCAGCGAGUUGUGAACAUCAACAACUAUGCAGAGGAUAAUGCAAUAGGAUUACCAGGACGCCACCCAGGACACAAACACUUUGGAGGAAAGCUGCUGCCAUCCCAUGUGACAAAAGCAGGAGUGUGGCUUCUCUACAACACAUUUUAAUUAUUUAAUUGACCUCCAACAUGAUUGGCACUACUUUUAUUGAUCUCACAUUAUUUCUGUAUUUUCCAGAG